CUCUGGACAGGUUUUGAUAAAUCUCCCCCAAUAUGUGCAAUAUGAACAAUAAUGGUGUGAGGAAAGAACCGGACAAAAAAGGGAGUGUGCAAAAAUAAGUUGUGUGAAGCAAAAGUGAAAGGAAAUAAUAGUGAAUGUGUUAUGUAUAUAUCUGUAUAAAUUAUACAUCCAAAUACUGCAAAGUGAAAAAGGCCACAAAGUGAAGAAUGGUGCAAAAAGAAAAAAAGAAAAACAGGAUAUUGGAGUGAUAAUGAGAACGUGAGUGUUGUAGUGAAUGAGCAUAAGGGUACUCUACUGGCCAGAGGAUUCCCCUGAAGCAUAGGUGAAACAUGUAUAGAGGCAGAGUUACCAUGUAUAGAUUGUGCUUUAUUGUCCAGUUUCUUCUUCAAAACACUUCCCUCCUGAACGCCAUUCAACUUUUUGAACCUUAUUUUAACCGUGGACUGUGAUAUCUCUAUGGUGGAAGGAGCUUAAGAUAAAGCGCUGGCUCUUGCGUGAAAACAUCUCCAGUUAAUUAGCUCUUGCAGUCUGCAAAGAGGGAUAUUAUGUACAGUGCAUCUGAUAGAAGAGCAACUCUUAUUUGCUUUUACAGACACAGAAACUUUAACACAUUGUUGUCACCGAAUGAUAUGUCACUUCAUCUGUAUUUCAGUUUGCAUUACAGCAUACGGUAUAACACUUUUGGCCUUAUUUUACAAAGAUGACCAUUUGUAACUGGAGUGGAUAAGCAGGAGCUAGGACACUGCAUCACAACCAUGAUCUGGCAGAUCUAUCAGAUCUUACCUUUUCUAUGAAAAAGAUUGGAA
Long non-coding RNA from Hyla sarda, 806 nucleotides. RefSeq lists it as uncharacterized. NCBI's taxonomy places the organism in Eukaryota, Metazoa, Chordata, Amphibia, Anura, Hylidae. The transcript is spliced from 5 exons. The record is from RefSeq and is a predicted model, not a curated record.